Molecule: transfer RNA, 74 nt
Filed under: Methylocaldum szegediense
Lineage: Bacteria; Pseudomonadati; Pseudomonadota; Gammaproteobacteria; Methylococcales; Methylococcaceae
Description: tRNA-Gly
Rfam family: tRNA
About the family: Transfer RNA (tRNA) molecules are approximately 80 nucleotides in length. Their secondary structure includes four short double-helical elements and three loops (D, anti-codon, and T loops).
Source: RNAcentral
GCGGGUGUAGUUCAAUGGUAGAACUCGGGCUUCCCAAGCCUGCAAUGUGGGUUCGAUUCCCAUCACCCGCUCCA